GGAGGAGCUGCACUGACGGUGACAGCAUUUUUGGCAAUGGCUUGGCCUUCAUCCUAAGGAAAGCAAGGGAACUGAAAUCCCAGACUGCUAAUUACACCCUGAGAUUCCAACAGAAGAGAGUGGUUUCCAUUAGGAAAUCUCAAUGCUAAGUGCCAACAGGGCUGGAGAGGGAAUGGAGGCUUUACUGAGGAAAUUAGGGAAUUACUGAAGGGAGCCAUGGAGGAGAAGAAUUUCACUCCACCAUUCAGACACAAUGGAGAAGUGUGUAAGGUCAGUGGACACAUCCAGUGACCAGUAGGCAGGACGCCUACAUCUUUUUGCUGAGGGAAGUCUCCCCAUUGCA
This 343-nucleotide long non-coding RNA is filed under the name Homo sapiens (human). RNAcentral describes it as "HSALNT0122693". Lineage: Eukaryota; Metazoa; Chordata; Mammalia; Primates; Hominidae. The record is from RNAcentral.